RNAcentral lists this ribosomal RNA (143 nucleotides) under uncultured eukaryote. Its description in RNAcentral is "partial 18S ribosomal RNA". It matches the Rfam family "Eukaryotic small subunit ribosomal RNA", at positions 1299 to 1458 of the family's 1831-position model. The record is from RNAcentral.
UGGUGGAGCGAUUUGUCUGGUCAAUUCCGAUAACGAACGAGACUCUAGCCUACUAAAUAGUUCGGGGACCCCCACAAAGGGGCCCCGCUUCAACUUCUUAGAGGGACAGGUGGCGUUUCGCCACACGAGAUUGAGCAAUAACA